CUCAGUCUUACACUGGAUAGAAGCCUACUAGCUUGCGCGCAAUUCGGGCAACAUACAACCCAUAUGUCCAGGCUAGAAGCAGGAUAGAUCAGCUGAAGAGAUUGGGUCACAGUGUAGACAAGGUCGAGCUCAUCUUAAUGGGCGGUACUUUCAUGUCGUUGCCCGCGGAUUACUUUAGGCG
Non-coding RNA from Malus domestica (apple), 181 nucleotides. The record is from RefSeq and is a predicted model, not a curated record. NCBI's taxonomy places the organism in Eukaryota, Viridiplantae, Streptophyta, Magnoliopsida, Rosales, Rosaceae.